This 460-nucleotide ribosomal RNA is filed under the name uncultured bacterium. RNAcentral's name for it is "partial 16S ribosomal RNA". It matches the Rfam family "Bacterial small subunit ribosomal RNA", at positions 338 to 795 of the family's 1533-position model. The record is from RNAcentral.
CCUACGGGAGGCAGCAGUGAGGAAUAUUGGUCAAUGGGCGCGAGCCUGAACCAGCCAAGUAGCGUGAAGGAUGACGGCCCUACGGGUUGUAAACUUCUUUUAUAAAGGAAUAAAAUGAGGCACAUGUGCCGUUUUGUAUGUACUUUGUGAAUAAGGAUCGGCUAACUCCGUGCCAGCAGCCGCGGUAAUACGGAGGAUCCGAGCGUUAUCCGGAUUUAUUGGGUUUAAAGGGAGCGGAGAUGGGUUGUUAAGUCAGUGGUGAAAGUUUGCGGCUUAACCGGAAAAUUGCAAUUGAUACUGGCAGGCUUGAGUACAGUUGAGGUAGGCGGAAUGCGUGGUGUAGCGGUGAAAUGCUUAGAUAUCACGAAGAACUCCGAUUGCGAAGGCAACUUACUAACGUGCCACUGACAUUGAUGCACGAAAGUGUGGGUAUCAAACAGGAUUAGAUACCCUGGUAGUC